AUUGAACGCUGGCGGCAUGCCUUACACAUGCAAGUCGAACGGCAGCAUGAUCUAGCUUGCUAGAUUGAUGGCGAGUGGCGAACGGGUGAGUAAUACAUCGGAACGUGCCCUGUAGUGGGGGAUAACUAGUCGAAAGAUUAGCUAAUACCGCAUACGACCUGCGGGUGAAAGUGGGGGACCGCAAGGCCUCAUGCUAUAGUAGCGGCCGAUGUCUGAUUAGCUAGUUGGUGAGGUAAAGGCUCACCAAGGCGACGAUCAGUAGCUGGUCUGAGAGGACGAUCAGCCACACUGGGACUGAGACACGGCCCAGACUCCUACGGGAGGCAGCAGUGGGGAAUUUUGGACAAUGGGCGAAAGCCUGAUCCAGCAAUGCCGCGUGUGUGAAGAAGGCCUUCGGGUUGUAAAGCACUUUUGUCCGGAAAGAAAUGGCUCUGGUUAAUACCUGGGGUCGAUGACGGUACCGGAAGAAUAAGGACCGGCUAACUACGUG
This 490-nucleotide ribosomal RNA is filed under the name uncultured bacterium. RNAcentral describes it as "partial 16S ribosomal RNA". It matches the Rfam family "Bacterial small subunit ribosomal RNA", at positions 30 to 507 of the family's 1533-position model. The record is from RNAcentral.